RNAcentral lists this ribosomal RNA (566 nucleotides) under uncultured archaeon. RNAcentral describes it as "bacterial SSU rRNA". It matches the Rfam family "Archaeal small subunit ribosomal RNA", at positions 326 to 897 of the family's 1478-position model. The record is from RNAcentral.
CGGGGUGCAGCAGGCGCGAAACCUCUACAAUGCACGCAAGUGUGAUAGGGGAAUCCCAAGUGCUCAGGCACAGCCUGGGCUUUUGCUAUGUGUAAAUAGCAUGGCGAAUAAGUGGUGGGUAAGACUGGUGCCAGCCGCCGCGGUAACACCAGCGCCACAAGUGGCAAUCGCGUUUAUUGGGCCUAAAGCGUCCGUAGCAGGUUCUGUAAAUUUCUUGUGAAACUGCCAGGCUCAACUUGGCAAUGUGCAGGGAACACUGCAGAGCUAGAGACCGGGAAGGGUCAGAGGUAUUCCUGAGGGAGCGGUAAAAUGCUAUAAUCUCAGGAGGACCACCGGUGGCGAAGGCGUCUGACUAGAACGGAUCUGACUGUGAGGGACGAAAGCUAGGGGAGCAAACCGGAUUAGAUACCCGAGUAGUCCUAGCUGUAAACGCUGUGAGCUAGGUGUCGCGUAUUCUACGGGAAUGCGCGGUGUCGUAAAGAAGUUACUAAGCUCACCGCCUGGGAAGUACGGUCGCAAGACUGAAACUUUAAGGAAUUGGCGGGGGAGCACAAGGGCGAAUCGCG